Molecule: ribosomal RNA, 389 nt
Filed under: Draconarius pseudobrunneus
Lineage: Eukaryota; Metazoa; Arthropoda; Arachnida; Araneae; Agelenidae
Description: partial 16S ribosomal RNA
Source: RNAcentral
CUCAAUGAAAUUUCAAUAGCCGCAAUAUACUUGUGCUAAGGUAGCAUAAUCAUUUGUCUUUUAAUUAAAGACUAGAACAAAAGAUUCAAUAUUUCUAUUUCUUUCUAAAAUAUAUCCCUAUAAAUUAUUCUAAAUAUAAAAAAAUAUUUAUAACUUAAAAAGACGACAAGACCCUAUUGAACUUAACUGAAGUUAAACUGGGGUAGUUAAUUAAACAUUAUUUUAAUUUCAAAAUCAAAAUAUCUAAUAAAAUUAAAUUAAUCAAGUUACCAUAGGGAUAACAGCGUAAUAAUUUUCUCAAGACCUUAUUCAAAAAAUUGUUUGCGACCUCGAUGUUGAAUUAAUAGUCUAUUAAAUGCAAUAAUUUAAUAAGAAAGUCUGUUCGACUU